ACGGGUGAGUAACACGUGGGUAACCUACCUAUAAGACUGGGAUAACUCCGGGAAACCGGGGCUAAUACCGGAUAAUACAUGAAACCGCAUGGUUUCAUGAUGAAAGACGGUUUUGCUGUCACUUAUAGAUGGACCCGCGGCGUAUUAGCUAGUUGGUAAGGUAACGGCUUACCAAGGCAACGAUACGUAGCCGACCUGAGAGGGUGAUCGGCCACACUGGAACUGAGACACGGUCCAGACUCCUACGGGAGGCAGCAGGC
RNAcentral lists this ribosomal RNA (260 nucleotides) under uncultured Staphylococcus sp. RNAcentral's name for it is "partial 16S ribosomal RNA". It matches the Rfam family "Bacterial small subunit ribosomal RNA", at positions 102 to 354 of the family's 1533-position model. The record is from RNAcentral. Lineage: Bacteria; Bacillati; Bacillota; Bacilli; Caryophanales; Staphylococcaceae.